RNAcentral lists this ribosomal RNA (1211 nucleotides) under metagenome. RNAcentral describes it as "bacterial LSU rRNA". It matches the Rfam family "Bacterial large subunit ribosomal RNA", at positions 1587 to 2808 of the family's 2925-position model. The record is from RNAcentral.
GAAGCAGUGUAUGUCAGACUUCCAAGAAAAGCUCGCAAUGUCACAAAUAAGAAAUGCCUGUACCAUAACCGACACAGGUGGGUAGGUAGAGUAUACUAAGGGGCGCGAGAUAACUCUCUCUAAGGAACUCGGCAAAAUGACUCCGUAACUUCGGGAGAAGGAGUGCCUUAUUUAUAAGGUUCAAUAACAAGAUCCAAGCAACUGUUUAUCAAAAACACAGGUCUCCGCUAAGUCGUAAGACGAUGUAUGGGGGCUGACGCCUGCCCAGUGCCAGAAGGUUAAAGAAGUUGGUUAGUGUAUGCGAAGCUGAUGACUGAAGCCCUGGUGAACGGCGGCCGUAACAAUAACGGUCCUAAGGUAGCGAAAUUCCUUGUCGGGUAAGUUCCGACCCGCACGAAAGGCGUAAUGAUUUGGAUACUGUCUCGGAGAGAGGCUCGGUGAAAUAGACUUGUCUGUGAAGAUGCGGACUACCUGCACCAGGACAGAAAGACCCUAUGAAGCUUUACUGUAACUUGAAAUUGGAAUUGGACUUUGCUUGCGCAGUAUAGGUGGGAAGCGUUGAAAAUAUUCUUGCGGGAGUAUUGGAGCUAUCAGUGAGAUACCACUCUUGUAAUGUUAGAUUUCUAACUUUGAACCAUAAUCUGGUCAAAGAACAGUUUCAGGUGGGCAGUUUGACUGGGGCGGUCGCCUCCCAAAUGGUAACGGAGGCGUACAAAGGUUUCCUCUGAACGGAUAGAAAUCGUAUCUAGAGUGUAAAGGCAUAAGGAAGCUUGACUGUGAGACCUACAAGUCGAGCAGGGACGAAAGUCGGUCUUAGUGAUCUGACGGUACUGAGUGGAAAGGCCGUCACUCAACGGAUAAAAGUUACUCUAAGGAUAACAGGCUGAUCUCCCCCAAGAGUUCACAUCGACGGGGAGGUUUGGCACCUCGAUGUCGGCUCAUCGCAUCCUGGGGCGGUAGUACGUCCCAAGGGUUGGGCUGUUCGCCCAUGAAAGCGGUACGCGAGCUGGGUUCAGAACGUCGUGAGACAGUUCGGUCCAUAUCCGGUGUAGGCGCUAGAAUAUUGAGAGGAGCCUUCUUUAGUACGAGAGGACCGAGAAGGACACACCGCUGGUGUACCAGUUAUCGUGCCAACGGUAAACGCUGGGUAGCUAUGUGUGGAGUGGAUAACCGCUGAAAGCAUCUAAGUGGGAAGCCCACCUCGAGAUGAG